CAGCUAGCUUAUCCACCAAUACAACCAAAUAAUAUAAAUAAAAUAGAAUUGACCAAAUACCAAAAACUAAACCAUUCUUUUACCUGAGUAUGGGAGACAGAAAAGGUUCAACCAAAGCAAUAGAGACAGUACCGCAAGGGAAAGCUGAAAGAGAAAUGAAAUAACCCAUAUAAGUAUUAAAAAGCAAAGACUAAACCUUGUACCUUUUGCAUCAUGAUUUAGCCAGUAAACACAAGCAAAGAGACCUUUAGUUUGAAACCCCGAAACCAGGUGAGCUACCCCGAGACAGCCUAUUAAGGGCCAACCCGUCUCUGUGGCAAAAGAGUGGGAAGAGCUCCGGGUAGAAGUGACAGACCUACCGAACCUGGUGAUAGCUGGUUGCCUAAGAAAUGGAUAGAAGUUCAGCCUCGUGUGCCUCAAAUCAAACGAGCACUAACCAAGACACAGAGAAAAACACGAGAGUUAGUUAAAGGGGGUACAGCCCCUUCAACAAAGGAUACAACCUUACCCAGGAGGAUAAAGAUCAUAUUGUACAAAACAUACUGUUCUAGUGGGCCUAAAAGCAGCCACCUAAACAGAAAGCGUUAAAGCUCAGACAGAAAAAAGUUUAUUAUUCUGAUAAAAAAUCUUACUCCCCUAAAUACUAUUAGGCUAAUCCAUGCCCCCAUGGAAGAAAUUAUGCUAAAAUGAGUAACAAGAAGGCCCGCCCUUCUCCAAGCACAAGUGUAAGCCAAACCGGACCAACCAUUGGCAACUAACGAACUCAACCCAAGAGAGCAAUGUGAAUCACAAAAAAAACAAGAAAACCCCACAACCCAAUUAAUCGUUAACCCCACACUGGAGUGCUAUAAAGGAAAGACUAAAAGAAAAGGAAGGAACUCGGCAAACACAAGCCUCGCCUGUUUACCAAAAACAUCGCCUCCUGCAACGCAACCAUGUAUAGGAGGUCCAGCCUGCCCAGUGACUACAAGUUCAACGGCCGCGGUAUUUUGACCGUGCAAAGGUAGCGCAAUCACUUGUCUUUUAAAUAGAGACCUGUAUGAAUGGCUAAACGAGGGCUUAACUGUCUCCCCUUUCAAGUCAGUGAAAUUGAUCUGCCCGUGCAGAAGCG
This 1111-nucleotide ribosomal RNA is filed under the name Ptychidio macrops. Its description in RNAcentral is "partial 16S ribosomal RNA". The stretch from base 182 to 1092 matches the Rfam family "Bacterial large subunit ribosomal RNA", at positions 568 to 2044 of the family's 2925-position model. Lineage: Eukaryota; Metazoa; Chordata; Actinopteri; Cypriniformes; Cyprinidae. The record is from RNAcentral.